RNAcentral lists this ribosomal RNA (349 nucleotides) under Chaetarthria sp. KS-2013. RNAcentral describes it as "partial 12S ribosomal RNA". Lineage: Eukaryota; Metazoa; Arthropoda; Insecta; Coleoptera; Hydrophilidae. The record is from RNAcentral.
UAUACUUUAGAGCUAUAAUCAUAAUUAUAAAAUUAAAAUUAUUACUUUCAAAUCCACCUUCUAACCAGUUUUCAGCCAAUUAUCCAUAUAAAUAAAUUUAUUGUAACCCAUUUCUUCUAAUUUAUAAGCUGCACCUUGAUUUGAUUUAUUAUAUAAUAAUAAAUUUUGAAUAUUGAAACUUCUUAUAAAAUAUUCAACUACAACGAUAUACAAGCUAAUAAAACAAGUACAAUUAAUCGUGGACUAUCGAUUACAGAACAGGUUCCUCUGAAAAGACUAAAAUACCGCCAAAUUUUUUAACUUUCAAGAUCAUAUCUAAUACUAAUUUAGUUCAAUUUUUUAUAUUUUU